UACGUAGGUGGCAAGCGUUGUCCGGAUUUACUGGGUGUAAAGGGCGUGUAGCCGGGGAGGCAAGUCAGAUGUGAAAACUAUGGGCUCAACCCAUAGCCUGCAUUUGAAACUGCUUUUCUUGAGUAUCGGAGAGGUAAUCGGAAUUCCUAGUGUAGCGGUGAAAUGCGUAGAUAUUAGGAGGAACACCAGUGGCGAAAGCGGAUUACUGGACGACAACUGACGGUGAGGCGCGAAAGCGUGGGGAGCAAAC
Molecule: ribosomal RNA, 250 nt
Filed under: uncultured bacterium
Lineage: Bacteria
Description: partial 16S ribosomal RNA
Rfam family: Bacterial small subunit ribosomal RNA
Source: RNAcentral